UNACGCUGGCGGCGGCCUAACACAUGCAAGUCGAGCGGAUGAAGAGAGCUUGCUCUCUGAUUCAGCGGCGGACGGGUGAGUAAUGCCUAGGAAUCUGCCUGGUAGUGGGGGACAACGUCUCGAAAGGGACGCUAAUACCGCAUACGUCCUACGGGAGAAAGCAGGGGACCUUCGGGCCUUGCGCUAUCAGAUGAGCCUAGGUCGGAUUAGCUAGUUGGUGAGGUAAUGGCUCACCAAGGCGACGAUCCGUAACUGGUCUGAGAGGAUGAUCAGUCACACUGGAACUGAGACACGGUCCAGACUCCUACGGGAGGCAGCAGUGGGGAAUAUUGGACAAUGGGCGAAAGCCUGAUCCAGCCAUGCCGCGUGUGUGAAGAAGGUCUUCGGAUUGUAAAGCACUUUAAGUUGGGAGGAAGGGCAUUAACCUAAUACGUUGAUGUUUUGACGUUACCGACAGAAUAAGCACCGGCUAACUCUGUGCCAGCAGCCGCGGUAAUACAGAGGGUGCAAGCGUUAAUCGGAAUUACUGGGCGUAAAGCGCGCGUAGGUGGUUUGUUAAGUUGAAUGUGAAAUCCCCGGGCUCAACCUGGGAACUGCAUCCAAAACUGGCAAGCUAGAGUAGGGCAGAGGGUGGUGGAAU
This 640-nucleotide ribosomal RNA is filed under the name uncultured Pseudomonas sp. RNAcentral's name for it is "bacterial SSU rRNA". It matches the Rfam family "Bacterial small subunit ribosomal RNA", at positions 31 to 667 of the family's 1533-position model. Lineage: Bacteria; Pseudomonadati; Pseudomonadota; Gammaproteobacteria; Pseudomonadales; Pseudomonadaceae. The record is from RNAcentral.